Molecule: long non-coding RNA, 270 nt
Filed under: Capsicum annuum
Lineage: Eukaryota; Viridiplantae; Streptophyta; Magnoliopsida; Solanales; Solanaceae
Description: long non-coding RNA (CANN_LNC020030)
Source: RNAcentral
UGGCUCUCAAAAUACACAUCUUCUUCCUUCUAAUCUCUAUAUUGUUAUACACAAUUAUUCCGAUCCUAAGGCGAUAAAAUUCGCAAAAUUAGCCAUUAAUGAAUAUAAUAAGAGGACUAAGGCCAAUGUGUCUUUUGAAAAAGUUAUUAAGGCUGCUGCUGCAACAACAAAUAAUACGAUAAUUUCUUCUGAGAUAUAUGUUACUCUUGUUAUUGAGGGAAAUAGAAAUAUUAAAUUUUAUGCUUAUAUUUGGCAAAAGGGAAGUUCUAC